RNAcentral lists this ribosomal RNA (253 nucleotides) under uncultured bacterium. RNAcentral's name for it is "partial 16S ribosomal RNA". It matches the Rfam family "Archaeal small subunit ribosomal RNA", at positions 474 to 727 of the family's 1478-position model. The record is from RNAcentral.
UACCAGCACCCCGAGUGGUCGGGACGAUUAUUGGGCCUAAAGCAUCCGUAGCCGGUUUUACAAGUCCUCCGUUAAAUCCAACUGCUUAACAGGUGGGCCGCGGAGGAUACUAUAAGACUAGGAGGCAGGAGAGGCAAGCGGUACUCAGUGGGUAGGGGUAAAAUCCGUUGAUCCAUUGAGGACCACCAGUGGCGAAGGCGGCUUGCCAGAAUGCGCUCGACGGUGAGGGAUGAAAGCUGGGGGAGCAAACCGG